UAGGGAAUCUUCGGCAAUGGGGGGAACCCUGACCGAGCAACGCCGCGUGAGUGAAGAAGGCUUUCGGAUCGUAAAGCUCUGUUGUUAAGGAAGAACGAGUGUGAGAAUGGAAAGUUCAUACUGUGACGGUACUUAACCAGAAAGGGACGGCUAACUACGUGCCAGCAGCCGCGGUAAUACGUAGGUCCCGAGCGUUGUCCGGAUUUAUUGGGCGUAAAGCGAGCGCAGGCGGUUAGAAAAGUCUGAAGUGAAAGGCAGUGGCUCAACCAUUGUAGGCUUUGGAAACUGUUUAACUUGAGUGCAGAAGGGGAGAGUGGACUUCCAUGUGUAGCGGUGAAAUGCGUAGAUAUAUGGAGGAACACCGGUGGCGAAAGCGGCUCUCUGGUCUGUAACUGACGCUGAGGCUCGAAAGCGUGGGGAGCGAACAGG
RNAcentral lists this ribosomal RNA (429 nucleotides) under Bacteroidota bacterium. RNAcentral's name for it is "Bacteroidetes bacterium partial 16S ribosomal RNA". It matches the Rfam family "Bacterial small subunit ribosomal RNA", at positions 355 to 776 of the family's 1533-position model. Lineage: Bacteria; Pseudomonadati; Bacteroidota. The record is from RNAcentral.